GCCAGGCACGGUGGCACAUGCCUGUAGUCCUAGCUACUCAGUAGGCUGAGGUGGGAGGAUCGCUCUGGGCUGUAGUGCGCUAUGCCGAUCAGGUGUCCGCACUAAGUUGCGCAUCAAUAUGGUGACCUCCCAGGAGCAGGGGACCACCAGGUUUCCUAAGGAGGGGUGAACCAGCCCAGAUCGGAAACGGAGCAGGUCAAAACGCCCGUGCUGAUCAGUAGUGGGAUCGCGCCUGUGAAUAGCCACUGCACUCCAGCCUGGGCAACAUAGCAAGACCCCGUCUCUC
Callithrix jacchus (white-tufted-ear marmoset) is the source of this 286-nucleotide unclassified non-coding RNA. It matches the Rfam family "Metazoan signal recognition particle RNA". Rfam says of the family: The signal recognition particle (SRP) is a universally conserved ribonucleoprotein. It is involved in the co-translational targeting of proteins to membranes. The record is from Ensembl. NCBI's taxonomy places the organism in Eukaryota, Metazoa, Chordata, Mammalia, Primates, Cebidae.